This 253-nucleotide ribosomal RNA is filed under the name uncultured bacterium. RNAcentral's name for it is "partial 16S ribosomal RNA". It matches the Rfam family "Bacterial small subunit ribosomal RNA", at positions 524 to 776 of the family's 1533-position model. The record is from RNAcentral.
UACGGAGGAUGCAAGCGUUGUCCGGAAUUAUUGGGCGUAAAGCGAACGUAGGCGGCUUCUUAAGUUUGGUCUUAAAGACCGGGGCUCAACCCCGGGAAUGGACUGAAUACUGGGAGGCUGGAGGAUGUCAGAGGAAAGUGGAAUUCCCAGUGUAGCGGUGAAAUGCGUAGAUAUUGGGAGGAACACCAGUGGCGAAAGCGACUUUCUGGGGCAUUCCUGACGCUGAGGUUCGAAAGCUCGGGGAGCAAACAGG